GUUUUUUCAUUUUUUUUAAUUUAA
Molecule: small RNA, 24 nt
Filed under: Arabidopsis thaliana (thale cress)
Lineage: Eukaryota; Viridiplantae; Streptophyta; Magnoliopsida; Brassicales; Brassicaceae
Description: ATSL300350
Source: RNAcentral